AGGUCGAGACGACAUCAGUUGAUAACAGUCUACACCAUAGAUGAUCGAGGUCUGUAUCCAGAAUCAAGAACCUGUCAUGCACAGUGGACCACUUAACGAUGGAGCGCCAAUAAUUUUUAGAGGUCGAGAAAACAACAGAUGACAAAUGUCUACACUAAGGAUGAAGUAGCAGCAAACAGUUUGCCAUCACUUCUGGGUCUGGAGAAUAAUGUGGUCCUGAGGAUUCAACAUCAAGGAACAGCCAUGACAUGUGCAGUGGACGACUCCAUGGGACACUAUCAAUAAUGUUUAAAGGUCGAGACGACAUCAGAUGACAACAGUUUAUACACCAUAGAUGAUCGAGGUCUGUUUCCAGAAUCAAGAGCCUGCCAAGACAUGCACAGUGGGCCACUCUACGUGAGACCGUCAUUAAUGUUUGGAGGGGACGCUACCGGCCGUGUGCAGGCAGUUCUGGUGGAGAGAGGAGAAGGCACACCUCUAAGAACAUCGAGUCCAUCCGAUCAUCGAUCGGGCACACCGACAAGUCAAGCCAACCUUCUUCCUCUAAGUUAAGAGGCACUGAACAGGACUAAGGUUGAAGAUGACCCGUCACUUCAUGCUUGUCCUGGCGCUGACACUCCUGGCUGGAGCCGUGUAUCCAGCCAAGAGCGAAUGGCAGGGACAGCAACUCAAGGAUAAAGAUGCUUCAUCUGCAAUUGAGGAAGCUGAACUUCUGCUUAAAGAGCUUGAAGAUCUGGUGUUGGGUGACAACAAUAAUGGUGGUGAUCAGGACAUGGCCAUACCGCACGGAAAACGACAGUCUGUCUGCAAUGAUCCACUCGGAAUGCAAUCUGGUGCCAUACCUGAUAGCAGCAUUACUGCAUCCUCGAUCUACAGUGCUACCUACCAGCCAUACCACGCACGGCUACACGGUUCUGGUCGCAGUUGGAU
Long non-coding RNA from Branchiostoma floridae (Florida lancelet), 930 nucleotides. RefSeq lists it as uncharacterized. The transcript has 8 exons. The record is from RefSeq and is a predicted model, not a curated record. NCBI's taxonomy places the organism in Eukaryota, Metazoa, Chordata, Leptocardii, Amphioxiformes, Branchiostomatidae.